Molecule: ribosomal RNA, 435 nt
Filed under: Triticum aestivum (bread wheat)
Lineage: Eukaryota; Viridiplantae; Streptophyta; Magnoliopsida; Poales; Poaceae
Description: partial small subunit ribosomal RNA
Source: RNAcentral
UUAGGAGAUUUUAAUGAAAUUUUACUCUCGUCGGAAAAAGAAGGUGGCAAUGCGAAACCGAAUGCAAUGAUGAGAUAUUUCCGUAAUUGUUUAGGAGAGUGCGGCCUCGACGAUAUGGGAUGUAUUAGUGAUCCUUUCACUUGGAGGACAGGCGACACUAGAGAGAGACUUGACAUGGCGGUUUGCAAUGUGGAAUGGGCGAAUGUAUUCCCCCGAGCUGCGGUUAUAAAUGAGGAACAUGUUCAUUCCGAUCAUCGUCCCAUCAUCUUGGAUGCUGAAUACUUUGACGCCAAUAUUUCUAAACCUCCAAGGGGACGAGUGAAACAAUUUGAAGCUAGAUGGCUUAGAGAGGAGACACCCGUUGAGAUUGUGCGUACAACAUGGGAAAAGGCAAAGAAAAUGGGCAUUGGGCCUACGCUCGCUGAUCGUACAUGA